UUGAACUUAAGUUUGUGGUGUUUUUGAACUUGAGAUUGUGGUUUUUUUUAACUUGAGGUUGUGGAAAUUGUUAAACUUGAGAAUUGGGUAUUGGUUGAACUUAAAUUUUUUGUUUUUGAACUUAAGUCUGUGUUGUGUUUAAACUUGUUUGUGGUGAGUUUGAACUUGAGUUUGUGUGUUUGUUGAACUUGAGGUUGUGGUAAUUUUUUAACUUGAAAUUUGGGUGUUGGUUGAACUUGAGUUUGUGUCGUGUUUGAACUUGAGUUCAUGUUGUUUGUUUUGAGUUUCUGUUGUUUUUUUACUUGAGGUUGUGGAAAUUGUGAAACUUGAGAAUCAGGUGUUGGUUGAACUUGAGUUUGUGGUUUUUGUUGAACUUGAGUUAUUGUGUUUUUUGAACUUAAGUUUGUGUUGUGUUUGAACUUGAGAUUGUGUCAUGUUUGCAAUUGAGUUUGUGGUGUUUUUGAACUUGAGUUUGUGUGUUUGUUGAACUUAAGUUUUUGUUGUGUUUGAACUUGAGUUUGUGGUGUUUCUUGAGCUUGAGUUUGUGUCAUGUUUGCACUUGAGUUUGUGGUGUUUUUGAACUUGAUUUUGUUAGUUUGUUGAACUUGAGUUUGUGGUCUUUUUGAACUUGAGUUUGUGUGUUUGUUGAACUUGAGUUUUUGUUGUGUUUGAACUUGAGUUUGUGGUGUUUGUUGAACUUGAGUUUGUGUCAUGUUUGAACUUGAGUUUGUGGUGAUUUUGAACUUGAUUUUGUUUGUUUAUUGAACUUUAGUUUGUGAAAUUUGUUGAACUUGAGUUGGUGGUGUUUCUGAACUUGAGUUUGUGUCGUGUUUGAACUUGUGUUUGUCAUGUUUUUGAACUUGAGUUUGUGGUGUAUUUGAACUUGAGGGUGUGGAAUUUGUUGAACUUGAGGUUGUGGCAAUUGUUAAACUUGAGUUUGUGUUUAAGUUGAACUUGAGUUUGUGUGGUUGUUGAACUUAAGGUUGUGGCAAUUGUUAAACUUUAGAUUUGGUUGUUGAUUGAACUAUAGUUUGUGUCGUGUUUGAACUUGAGUUUGUGGUUUGUUGAACUUGAGUUUGUGUCAUGUUUGAACUUGAUUUUUUGGUGUUUUUGAACUUGAGUUUGUGUUGUGUUUGAACUUGAGUUUGUGUUGUGUUAUUGAACUUGAGUUUGUUUCGGAUUUGAACUUGAGGGUGUGGAAUUUGUUGAACUUGAGGUUGUGGCAAUUGUUAAACUUGAGUUUGUGUUUAAGUUGAACUUAAGUUUGUAUUGUUUUUGAACAUGAGUUUGUUUCAUGUUUUGAAUUUGAGUUUGUGGCAUUUGUUGAACUUGAGUUUGUGUGGUUGUUGAACUUAAGGUUGUGGCAAUUGUUAAACUUUAGAUUUGGUUGUUGAUUGAACUAUAGUUUGUGUCGUGUUUGAACUUGAGUUUGUGGUUUUUGUUGAACUUGAGUUUGUGUCAUGUUUGAACUUGAUUUUUUGGUGUUUUUGAACUUGAGUUUGUGUUGUGUUUGAACUUGAGUUUGUGUUGUGUUAUUGAACUUGAGUUUGUUUCGGAUUUGAACUUGAGGGUGUGGAAUUUGUUGAACUUGAGGUUGUGGCAAUUGUUAAACUUGAGUUUGUGUUUAAGUUGAACUUAAGUUUUUGUUGUUUUUGAACAUGAGUUUGUUUCAUGUUUUGAACUUGAGUUUGUGGCAUUUGUUGAACUUGAGUUUGUGUGGUUGUUGAACUUAAGGUUGUGGCAAUUGUUAAACUUUAGAUUUGGUGGUUGAUUGAACUAUAGUUUGUAUCGUGUUUGAACUUGAGUUUGUGGUUUUUGUUGAACUUGAGUUUGUGUCAUGUUUGAACUUGAUUUUUUGGUGUUUUUGAACUUGAGUUUAUGUUGUGUUUGAACUUGAGUUUGCGGCGUUUGUUGAACUUGAGUUUGUGUGGUUUUUUAACUCAAGGUUGUGGCAAUUGUUAAACUUGAGAUUUGGUUGUUGAUUGAACUAUAGUUUGUGUCGUGUUUGAACUUGAGUUUGCUUGUAUUUGGACUUGAGUUUGUGGUUUUUGUUCAACUUAAGUUUGUGUCGUGUUUGAACUUGAGUUUGUGGUUUUUGUUGAACUUGAGUUUGUGUUGUGUUAUUGAACAUGAGUUUGUGGUGUUUUUGAACUUGAGUUUGUUUGGUGUUUGAACUUGAGUUUGUGGCGUUUUUUGAACUUGAGUUUGUGUCAUGUUUGAACUUGUGUUUGUCAUUUUUUUGAACUUGAGUUUGUGGUGUUUUUGAACUUGAGGGUGUGGAAUUUGUUAAACUUGAGAAUUGGGUAGUGGUUGAACUUGAGUUUGUGUGUUUGUUGAACUUGAGUUUGUUUCGUUUUUGAACUUGAGUUUGUGUGAAUGUUGAAUUUGAUUAUGUGGGUUUUUUGACUUGAGUAUGUUUCAUGUUUUAACUUGAGUUUGUGGCGUUUGUUGAAAUUGACUGUGUGUUUGUUGAACUUGAGGUUGUGGCAAAUGUUAAACUUGAUAUUUGGGUGUUGGUUGAACUUAAGUUUGUGUCGUAUUUGAACUUGAGUUUGUGUGGUUGUUGAACUUAAGGUUGUGGCAAUUGUUAAACUUUAGAUUUGGUUGUUGAUUGAACUAUAGUUUGUGUCGUGUUUGAACUUGAGUUUGUGGUUUUUGUUGAACUUGAGUUUGUGUCAUGUUUGAACUUGAUUUUUUUGGUGUUUUUGAACUUGAGUUUGUGUUGUGUUUGAACUUGAGUUUGUGUUGUGUUAUUGAACUUGAGUUUGUUUCGGAUUUGAACUUGAGGGUGUGGAAUUUGUUGAACUUGAGGUUGUGGCAAUUGUUAAACUUGAGUUUGUGUUUAAGUUGAACUUAAGUUUGUGUUGUUUUUGAACAUGAGUUUGUUUCAUGUUUUGAACUUGAGUUUGUGGCAUUUGUUGAACUUGAGUUUGUGUGGUUGUUGAACUUAAGGUUGUGGCAAUUGUUAAACUUUAGAUUUGGUGGUUGAUUGAACUAUAGUUUGUAUCGUGUUUGAACUUGAGUUUGUGGUUUUUGUUGAACUUGAGUUUGUGUCAUGUUUGAACUUGAUUUUUUGGUGUUUUUGAACUUGAGUUUAUGUUGUGUUUGAACUUGAGUUUGCGGCGUUUGUUGAACUUGAGUUUGUGUGGUUUUUUAACUCAAGGUUGUGGCAAUUGUUAAACUUGAGAUUUGGUUGUUGAUUGAACUAUAGUUUGUGUCGUGUUUGAACUUGAGUUUGCUUGUAUUUGGACUUGAGUUUGUGGUUUUUGUUCAACUUAAGUUUGUGUCGUGUUUGAACUUGAGUUUGUGGUGUUUGUUGAACUUGAGUUUGUGUUGUGUUAUUGAACAUGAGUUUGUGGUGUUUUUGAACUUGAGUUUGUUUGGUGUUUGAACUUGAGUUUGUGGCGUUUUUUGAACUUGAGUUUGUGUCAUGUUUGAACUUGUGUUUGUCAUUUUUUUGAACUUGAGUUUGUGGUGUUUUUGAACUUGAGGGUGUGGAAUUUGUUAAACUUGAGAAUUGGGUAGUGGUUGAACUUGAGUUUGUGUGUUUGUUGAACUUGAGUUUGUUUGUUUUUUGAACUUGAGUUUGUGUGAAUGUUGAAUUUGAUUAUGUGGGUUUUUUUGACUUGAGUAUGUUUCAUGUUUUAACUUGAGUUUGUGGCGUUUGUUGAAAUUGACUGUGUGUUUGUUGAACUUGAGGUUGUGGCAAAUGUUAAACUUGAUAUUUGGGUGUUGGUUGAACUUAAGCUUGUGUCGUAUUUGAACUUGAGUUUGUGGUGUGUUUGAACUUGAGUGUGUGGCAAUUGUUGAAAUUGAAUCUGUGGUUUUUAGUGAACUUUAAUUGGUGGCAAUUGUUGAACUUGAGUUUGUGGCAUUUUUUGAACUUGAGUUUGUUGUGUGUUUAAACUUGAGUUUGUGUGUUUGUUGAACUUGAGGUUGUGCCAAUUGUUAAACUUGAGAUUUGGGUGUUGGUUGAACUUGAGUUUGUGUCAUGUUUGAACUUGAGUUUGUUGUUUGUUGAACUUGAGUUUCUGUUGUUUUUGAACAAGAGGUUGUUGAAUUUGUUAAACUUGAGAAUCAGCUAUUGGUUGAACUAGAGUUUGUGUGUUUGUUGAAAUUGAUUCUGUGUUGUUUCUCAACUUGAGUUUUUGGCGUUUUUGAACUUGAGUUUGUUUGUUUUUUGAACUUCAGUUUGUGUUGUGUUUGAACUUGAGUUUGUGGAAUUUUUUAACUUGAUUUUGUGUUUUUGUUGAUCUUGAGUUUGUUUGAUUGUUGACCUUGAGUUUGUGUCGUGUUUGAACUUGAGUUUGUCGUGUUUGAACUUGAGUUUUGUCAUGUUUGAACUUGAGUUUGUUGUGUAUUUGAUCUUGAGUUUGUGGUGUUUUUGAACUUGAGGGUGUGGUUUUUGAACUUGAGGGUGUGUUUGUUGAACUUGACUUUGGGUCUUGGUUGAACUCUAGUUUGUGUUGUGUUUGAACUAUAGUUUGUUGAACUUGAUUUUGUGUCGUGUUUACAAUUGAGUUUGUGGUGUUUUUGAACUUGAAUUUGUGUGUUUGUUGAACUUGAGUUUGUGUUGUGUUUGAACUUGAGUUUGUGGUGUUUGUUGAACUUGAGUUUGUGGUGUUUUUGAACUUGAAUUUGCGUGUUUGGUGAACUUGAGUUUGUGUUUUUUUGAACUUGAGUUUCUGUUGUUUUUGAACUUGAGGUUGUGGCAAUUGUUAAACAUGAGAGUCAGGUGUUUUUGGUUGAACUUGAGAUUGUGUGUUUGUUGAACUUGAGUAUGUUUCAUGUUUGAACUUGAGUUUGUGGCGUUUUUGUGCUUGAGUCUGUGUUUUUUUUUAACUUGAGGUUGUGGAAAUUGUUAAACUUGAGAAAUGGGUAUUGGUUGAACUUGAGUUUUUGGUGUUUUUCAACUUGAGUUUGUGUCGUUUUUGAACCUGAGUUGGUGUCGUUUUUGAUCUUAAAGUUGUGGAAAUUGUUUAACUUGAGAAUUAGGAGUUGGUUGAAUUUGAGUUUGUGUGUUUGUUGAAUUUGAGUUUGUGUCAUGUUUCAACUUGAGUUUGUGGUGUUUUUGAACUUCAGUUUGUGUGUUUGUUGAACUUCAGUGUGUGUUGUGUUUGAAGUCGAGUUUGUGGUGUUUUUGAACUUGAUUUUGUGUUUUUGUUGAACUUGAGUUUGUUUGAUUGUUGAACUUGAGUUUGUGUCGUGUUUGAACUUGAGUUUGUCGUGUUUGAACUUGAGAUUCUUGUGUUUUUGAACUUGAGUUUGUGGUGUUUUUGAACUUGAGUAUGUGGUGUUUUUGAACUUGAGGGUGUGGUGUUUUUGAACUUGAGGGUGUGGAAUUUGUUAAACUUGAGAUUUGGGUCUUGGUUGAACUUGAGUUUGUGGUGUGUUUGAACUUGAGUUUGUGUGUAUGUUUUUACUUGAGGUUGUGGCAAUUUUUAAACUUGAGAUUUGGGUGUUGGUUGAACUUGAAUUUGUUUCGUGUUUGAACUUGAGUUUGUGGUGUGUUUAAACUUGAGUUUGGUUAAUUGUUGAACUUGAGGUUGUGGCAAUUGUUAAACUUGAGAUUUGGGUUCUGGUUAAACUUGAGUUUGUGUUUUUGUUGAACUUGAGGUUUUGGCAAUUAUUAAUCUUGAAUCUGUGGUUUUUAGUGAACUUUAAUUGGUUGCAAUUGUUAAACUUGAGUUUGUCGCGUUGGUUGAACUUGAGUUUGUUUGUUUCUUUGAACUUGAGGUUGUGGUGUUUUGGAACUUGAUUUUGUUCCGUUUUUGAACUUGAGUUUGUGGUGUUUUUUGAACUUGAGUUUGUGAUGUGUUUCAACUUGAGUCUGUGUGUUUGUUGAACUUGAGUUUUUUGUGUUUGAACUUGAGUUUGUGGUGAUUUUGAACUUGAGUAUGUUUCGCGUUUGAACUUGAGUUUGUGGUGUGUGUUGAACUUGAGUUUUGUCAUGUUUGAACUUGAGUUUCUUGUGUAUUUGAUCUUGAGUUUGUGGUGUUUUUGAACUUGAGGGUGUGGUGUUUUUGAACUUGACUUUGUGUGUUUGUUGAACUUGACUUUGUGUGUUAUUUGAACUCUAGUUUGUGUUGUGUUUGAACUUGAGUUUGUGGUGUUUGUUGAACUUGAGUUUGUGGUGUUUUUGAACUUGAAUUUGCGUGUUUGGUGAACUUGAGUUUCACAUUUUACAUUUUUGUUGGUGUAACCAACUCCAAAAGGUUGGAAAAGAGUUCCUACAAAGGUUUUGGACAGUGAUUUUAACCCUAAUGCCAAAAACCUUAAACCUUACCAUAGCCCCAUAACCUAAUACCCGGGUAUUACAUUCAGGAAGCCUGAACACCCCAAAUAUUUUUUUUUCAUUUUUCUUUUUUUUUUUGUCUAACUAACUCCAAAAGGUUGGAAAAGAGUUCCUACAAAGGUUUUGGACAGUGAUUUUAACCCUAACCCCAAAAAAUUUAAACCUUACCAUAGCCCCAUAAUUUAAUUCCCAGGUAUUACCUUCAGGAAGCCCGAACACCCCAAAUAUUUUUUUUUCAUUUUACAUUUUUGUUGGUGUAACCAACUCCAAAAGGUUGGAAAAGAGUUCCAACAAAGGUUUUGGACAGUGAUUUCAACCCUAAUGCCAAAAACCUUAAACCUUUCCCAAGCCCCA
This is a non-coding RNA of Xyrichtys novacula (pearly razorfish), 6649 nucleotides long. The record is from the annotation of a GenBank genome assembly. Lineage: Eukaryota; Metazoa; Chordata; Actinopteri; Labriformes; Labridae.